GACAUUUCUGAGCAUUUAUACCUUGUUUGAUUACCUGUUGCCUACCUGGAUUGUUUAUACCCGCCUGAUCGUUCUCUGCCUGCCUCUUUGACCUUGUCUGCCUAUUGGAUUUGUUCUAUUCUCUGUCUGCCACCUGCCUCGACCCUUUGCAUGGACUCAGCUGCACAUGGAUCCCAACGUCACUGAAUCAUCAUUACACUAAACCAUUAAGGGCCUUGUAGAGACUGCAUUAACAUGACUGUGCAACAUAACAUCCUGACACCAAGGGAUCAUGGGAGAGAUGUUGAACUAAAAUAGCAUUUGUCUUCUAACCUACGGCUGUAUUGCUUGAAAGUGGAUCGCUGACUCACACGCUCCCAGAAAACCACACCCAACCUCCGCCUGGAGACUUUUUCUGCAGUCAUAGUUUCCAUGAAAAUCAACUAGAUACCCGCAGGCCUGCAUUUAUACAAGGAAGUGGAGGAAGGAAGGGGGUUUUCAAACAGUAACACACUUUUUACCAUGUCCCGACAAGC
Molecule: long non-coding RNA, 515 nt
Organism: Sinocyclocheilus grahami
Lineage: Eukaryota; Metazoa; Chordata; Actinopteri; Cypriniformes; Cyprinidae
Exons: 3
Source: RefSeq, a predicted model, not a curated record